AGCCACAGCCACAGUAACGCCAGAUCUGAGCUUCGUCUGCAACCUACACUGCAGCUUGUGGCAAUGCUGGAUCCUUAACCCACUGAAUGAGGCCAGAGAUCGAACCCACCUCCUCAUGGGUACUAGUCAGAUUCUUAACCCACUGAGCCACAACAGGAACUCUUGAUUUUUAUCAGCUAUUAUCAACAUGGCAUGAACUGAUUUAUGAGAAGAACUAGCCAGUCUUCCAACAAAGCCCUGAGGUAUUGCUCUUGGAUGGAGAGUCACCUUGCUCAAGAUCACACCCCCUUCCCUGAAGUGAUCCAUCUCCAGUGACUGGCCAAGGACAAGACAAAAAUCUUGGCAUCUUGCCUCAAGAUGGGACAACUCGGAAGGUUUCGUGCCUGUCCCAUGGCUCUCCAUGGCAUCAGCUGAGUACUUUGUCGUGCCUGUAUCUCAGCCCAGCUUCCUCCUUCCCUGGUCCUGCACCCUCACUCCCCCACAGGGGUCCCUCCAGAAUAUGCUACCCUAUCAACUCCUCAUACAUGAAUCUUAUCCCAGACUCAGAAUUCCAAGAAACUUGACCUGGGACACUGUCCUUCUUUUUUCUCUGAGCUUCUUCUUCAUGAUUAAAGAUGAAUCUUAUCGUAGGUGAUUGGUACUCACACAGCAUGCAUGGCAAAGUAAAAAUUAUUCUUUAACUGCUAAAGCCUCUAAAUGUCCUGAGAAUUUCCCCUCAAUAAUUUCCACAAAUCUCCAAAUUUCUUCUCAUCCUCGUAUAAUUAAAAAUGCCAUUGUCAAAGCCAUGUCAUAGAAAUAAGAAACUAUUCUUAUUAACUUGGUUAUUUUCAGUUAUAAUUAAUGGAUUUGCAAGAGGUCUUCACUGCUAAACUCCACUAUUUGAUUCUUCUACUGCUUUUCAUUACAAAUGUGCAUUAUUUCAUCAAGGUUUAAAUUUAAAUCUAUUUCUAUGGUCUGGCCUUUUGUUCCUUUUAUUAUUUUUGAUAGAAAAAGUAUUUUCAAGUUCAGAACAACUGACUUUGAGAUAAACUUUGGAACCCAUCCUGUCUGUAAGUGGGAGUUUGUGAUCACAUGGAAUAAUUGGCUUUGGAAACAGAGAGAAGCCUGACCGCAUUUCAGGACUUGAAACAACCUUCAUGCUUCCUUGAUGAGGCAGGUGCCCAGACGCCUCGCUUUAUAAUAGCAGCUAGGCAGUCACAGUUUGAUUUCUCAACCUCAGGUCACUGCUUGGCCCACACCCAUAUUGACCAUCUGAAUAGUCUGGCCACUUACAGGGCUAUUAGACAGCAUGGCCACAUGUGGAAUGGGCAGUGAUUCUUUCCUACAUAUGGGGCAAGUGAGGCCACUAAAUUCAUCCAUCCAAAACUUCUCCCCACUCCUUUUUUUGGAAGUGAAGUAAGGCUGAGCAUUCCAUUUAAAUUUUUAGUGAUUUAAAAAUGUUUUAAUUACCAGCACUGUGUGAGGGACCAGAAUUAUAAAUUGUUUAGUCCAGAGCCAGAGUUCCCAUUGUGGCUCAGCAUGUUAAGGACUGGUGCUGCCACAAGCUGCAGCAUAGGUCACAGACAUGGCUCAGAUCCAGUACUGUCAUGGCUGAAGUAUAAGCCUCAGCAGCAGCUCCAAUUCGACCCCUAGCCCAGGAACUUCCGGAAGCCACAGGUGCAGCCAUAAAAAAUUAAAAACAAAAGACAAGUCUAGAGCUUACCCAUUCACAUGAGAGCAAAGACUCAAAUUAUAACUUCAAAGACACAUCAGCCAAACUAAAUGAGAUGAAAAAAACUGUUGUAUACAAAUACACCAAAUACAAAAAGAAGGUAGAUUUCUAGUCACUAAUUGAUAAAGAAUGGGUAACCAAAGCUGCUUUCUUCAAAUGUUCACAAGGAUGAAGAGCAGAACCAAAGCAUCCUAUGAUAGAGUCACUGAUAUGAACAACUAUUCAACUGCUAAUGGAGUCUCAGAAGCAUUAGCUGGAAAGUGGAAGCCACCCCAGGCAAGAGAGGGACACCCAGAGUGGCAGCAGGGUCUGGAACUGUCCCAGUU
This 2037-nucleotide long non-coding RNA is filed under the name Sus scrofa (pig). Its description in RNAcentral is "lncRNA (ENSSSCG00030023991.1)". The record is from RNAcentral. Lineage: Eukaryota; Metazoa; Chordata; Mammalia; Artiodactyla; Suidae.